This 236-nucleotide ribosomal RNA is filed under the name uncultured bacterium. RNAcentral's name for it is "partial 16S ribosomal RNA". It matches the Rfam family "Bacterial small subunit ribosomal RNA", at positions 118 to 351 of the family's 1533-position model. The record is from RNAcentral.
UGAGGAACAUGACUUUCGGUGGGGGAGUAGCCGGCCCAACGGCCGGGUAAUACCGCGUACGACCUUUUGGGGACAUCCCCGAUUGGUGAAAGCAGCAAUGCGCCGAAAGAGUGCCUCGCGGCCUAUCAGCUAGUUGGUGGGGUAAUGGCUCACCAAGGCGACGACGGGUAGCUGGUCUGAGAGGAUGGCCAGCCACAUUGGGACUGAGACACGGCCCAGACUCCUACGGGAGGCAG